RNAcentral lists this ribosomal RNA (274 nucleotides) under uncultured bacterium. RNAcentral describes it as "partial 16S ribosomal RNA". It matches the Rfam family "Bacterial small subunit ribosomal RNA", at positions 523 to 796 of the family's 1533-position model. The record is from RNAcentral.
AUACGGAGGGUGCAAGCGUUGUUCGGAAUCACUGGGCGUAAAGGGCGCGCAGGCGGUUUGGUAAGUCAGAUGUGAAAGCCCAUGGCUCAACCAUGGAAGUGCAUUUGAAACUGUCAGACUUGAGUACUAGAGGGGAAAGUGGAAUUCCCGGUGUAGAGGUGAAAUUCGUAGAUGUCGGGAGGAAUACCGGUGGCGAAGGCGACUUUCUGGCUAGAUACUGACGCUGAGGCGCGAAAGCGUGGGGAGCAAACAGGAUUAGAAACCCCGGUAGUCC